UAACCUGCCUCAUACACAUGGAUAACAUACCGAAAGGUAUGCUAAUACAGGAUAAUAUAAGAGAUUCACAUGGAUUUCUUAUCAAAGCUCCGGCGGUAUGAGAUGGACCCGCGUCUGAUUAGCUAGUUGGUAAGGUAAUAGCUUACCAAGGCGACGAUCAGUAGCCGACCUGAGAGGGUGAUCGGCCACAUUGGAACUGAGACACGGUCCAAACUCCUACGGGAGGCAGCAGUGGGGAAUAUUGCACAAUGGGCGAAAGCCUGAUGCAGCAACGCCGCGUGAGUGAUGAAGGCCUUCGGGUCGUAAAACUCUGUCCUCAAGGAAGAUAAUGACGGUACUUGAGGAGGAAGCCCCGGCUAACUACGUGCCAGCAGCCGCGGUAAUACGUAGGGGGCUAGCGUUAUCCGGAUUUACUGGGCGUAAAGGGUGCGUAGGUGGUUUUUUAAGUCUGAUGUGAAAGCCCACGGCUCAACCGUGGAGGGUCAUUGGAAACUGGGGAACUUGAGUGCAGAAGAGGAUAGUGGAAUUCCAAGUGUAGCGGUGAAAUGCGUAGAGAUUUGGAGGAACACCAGUGGCGAAGGCGACUGUCUGGUCUGUAACUGACACUGAGGCGCGAAAGCGUGGGGAGCAAACAGGAUUAGAUACCCUGGUAGUCCACGCCGUAAACGAUGAGUGCUAAGUGUUUAGGGGGUUUC
This 695-nucleotide ribosomal RNA is filed under the name uncultured bacterium. RNAcentral's name for it is "bacterial SSU rRNA". It matches the Rfam family "Bacterial small subunit ribosomal RNA", at positions 122 to 835 of the family's 1533-position model. The record is from RNAcentral.